ACAUUUUAAAACUCUACCUAACCGCCGAGUUGUGAAGACGAAAUCAUAUCUGCUGUAGUUUGACCUAAAUUCGCGGUAACACAGCAACGUCUCCCACAGGCCAAGAGCUCAAGAUCAAUUCAAUUCUCGUUAAAACUGCUUGGUUGUUGGAGGAAUAAAAUGCCUAUUGUGACAGUUGAAACCAAUUUAUCAUAUGCUCAGUUACCAGAUGAUUUUGGCCCAAAACUGUCCAGAUUUACCAGCGAGACGCUGAACAAACCAGAAGAACGGAUUACCAUCAGCCUAGUAACCGAUCGCCGAAUGUGGCGCAAUGGAAGUGAUUUGCCAAUGAUGCAAAUUUACGUUUCAGCCAUUGGUGCAGUUUCAACUGCCGAACAGAAUACCGUCCACGCGCAAAAAUUUACCGAUUUCAUGAAGUCACAAACAGGACUCCCGACGGAAAGAGUUUUCCUUUUAUUUACUCCUUUGGAAGCUUGGCAAAUAGGGAAAGAUGGAAUGGUGGCAUGUUAAACUGAUGUCCCUUGUUAAGGAACAAGGUGAUCAGGACAUCUGCAGGAAUCAGAAUGUAGGUCUUCAUUCAUUAAUAAGGGUUUUCAAUUCA
This is an RNA transcript of Daphnia carinata, 601 nucleotides long. It is a transcript of the gene named D-dopachrome decarboxylase-B-like, with no coding region annotated. Lineage: Eukaryota; Metazoa; Arthropoda; Branchiopoda; Diplostraca; Daphniidae. The record is from RefSeq and is a predicted model, not a curated record. The transcript has 5 exons.